Lepisosteus oculatus (spotted gar) is the source of this 1280-nucleotide long non-coding RNA. NCBI's taxonomy places the organism in Eukaryota, Metazoa, Chordata, Actinopteri, Semionotiformes, Lepisosteidae. The record is from Ensembl.
CCUCCUAAUUGAAAGGAAUGCUGUUCUUUCCCAUCAUUCAGGACAACUAAAAGAGUGCUACUUUUCCUUGAUAGAUGUUAUUCUCAUGAACCUUUGCUUUUUGUCUGUUGAAAUCAUAAUCCGGUUUGUAUUUUCACUUCAUUAAGUCUUCCCAUUUGUGAUGUUUGCCAUUCCGCUGCACACAAUGUGUAAAGAUUAUCCUUUCGAUACCUACAUUUUUGGAUGUAUUCCCUUCUACCUUUCUCUAUCUCACAAUCAGGUUAAUGCUGGAGCAGGGGCUUGGUGCCCAGUGUCACAGAGGGAGAGGGACUGCUGCCCCCCCUGCUCUCUAAGCCUGAGACUGUGGCCCUGUAGUCAGCAACAGUUCAGCAUGAGGAAGAGGCAGCGAGGUCAACAGUGAACGAAAACGCCAGCAAUUGCAGCAGAAAUACAGUAUCACAGUAUCAGGAGGAUAUGUAUUCAAUAAACAUCAUCUUUAGUAUAGCUUCAUAUUUGUUUUCCUUGGGUCGCUGCAGUUUCCCGCUAAGCCUUCCUGGAAGUCUCUUUCCCUACCCUUCACACGCUUGCGGCAUCCCUCUGUUCUCCUCCUCUUCCUCCACUUCCUUGCUCCGAGCGCCAGUUUUGUCUGUCUUCCGAUUUGUGUCACUUCCAGUGACUGCGCUUAGCCGUUUUUCGUUUCCUUAGAAUCUUUUCCCAUUUUCUCUUAUCACAAAAAAUAACAAUAUGUUUAUGUUUUGGAAAGGCAGCAGUUUCUCUUUACCUAGCCUUUGUUUUUCUUUAUAAGCAAGUGAAACUCGGAGUGUUUAUAAAAGUCCUUUAAUUAACAGAUUAUACAAAGUGAUGUUUCUGUCGUGAAUGAUGCCCACUUAGAUUAUGAUUUUGACAUGACAGCUCACCAGAGGACAUUUUCAGUAUCUGCAUAGUCCUUAUCAUAACGUGUUUGCCACAGACAUUUUAUAGUGUAGCUUUUGGUAGUUAAUUCCUUUGAUUUUGCAGGAUUUUAAAAUGCAAAAGAAAAGGGGCAAUAUGUUAUACCAUGUAACACCUUCUAAACUUUAACCUUCCUUAAAACUUUGACAUUUAUUGUGUCUGUAUAAUUGUGGCAGGCAGAAUUAUGCAUUCAAUGAUGUAAAUUGAAUCCACAAAAUAUUUAGCUAAGUUCUGAUCUCUGUUUGAAAAAUAAACAGUGCUGUACUUGGAUGUUCAUAUAAAUCCUUUACACUAAUAAACUCUCCAUAAAUAAAAUUAAAAUAAAUUUGUUAAAUAUAGUGAUACACUGG